RNAcentral lists this long non-coding RNA (322 nucleotides) under Elaeis guineensis (African oil palm). RNAcentral describes it as "long non-coding RNA (EGUI_LNC059530)". Lineage: Eukaryota; Viridiplantae; Streptophyta; Magnoliopsida; Arecales; Arecaceae. The record is from RNAcentral.
CAUCAUCCUCAAGCCCGGAUCAGUGAGGUUAGAACGUCUAACUUGCAAGGUAAUAGAUCUGAUCUAUUGUUUAAUACAUACAUUAGAUGUAGUAUAGAAACAUGUUGAUAUGAUCAACAUGUAGUUCAUGCUAUAUUUAUAUAUUUUAAUUUCUGAUUUAAUACUAUGUAAUAAUCAUAUAAUAGGAUCUUAGAUCUAGAGAUUUUCUAAUUUUAGAAAAUAAAUUUUGAUUUAUUUUAGUCUUCCACUGUAUGAUCUUGAAAAAAUUUUAAGAUCUAACCCUGAAACCCUAGAUCUGGUUCCUACAAUUGGUAUCAGAGCC